This 70-nucleotide transfer RNA is filed under the name Bletia catenulata. RNAcentral's name for it is "partial tRNA-Gln". It matches the Rfam family "tRNA". From Rfam's summary of the family: Transfer RNA (tRNA) molecules are approximately 80 nucleotides in length. The record is from RNAcentral. Lineage: Eukaryota; Viridiplantae; Streptophyta; Magnoliopsida; Asparagales; Orchidaceae.
GGCGUGGCCCAGUGGUAAGGCAACGGGUUUUGGUCCCGUUACUCGGAGGUUCGAAUCCUUCCGUCCCAGA